RNAcentral lists this ribosomal RNA (448 nucleotides) under uncultured bacterium. RNAcentral's name for it is "bacterial SSU rRNA". It matches the Rfam family "Bacterial small subunit ribosomal RNA", at positions 29 to 524 of the family's 1533-position model. The record is from RNAcentral.
AACGAACGCUGGCGGCAGGCCUAACACAUGCAAGUCGAACGCCGUAGCAAUACGGAGUGGCAGACGGGUGAGUAACACGUGGGAACGUACCCUUCGGUUCGGAAUAACUCAGGGAAACUUGAGCUAAUACCGGAUACGUCCGAGAGGAGAAAGAUUUAUCGCCGAGGGAUCGGCCCGCGUCUGAUUAGCUUGUUGGUGAGGUAACGGCUCACCAAGGCGACGAUCAGUAGCUGGCUGAGAGGAUGAUCAGCCACAUUGGGACUGAGACACGGCCCAAACUCCUACGGGAGGCAGCAGUGGGGAAUAUUGGACAAUGGGCGCAAGCCUGAUCCAGCCAUGCCGCGUGAGUGAUGAAGGCCCUAGGGUUGUAAAGCUCUUUUACCCGGGAAGAUAAUGACUGUACCGGGAGAAUAAGCCCCGCUAACUUCGUGCCAGCAGCCGCUGUAAC